UUGCAAAUCGUAAGGUCAGGCUCAUUAUUUUUUUAAUUAGAGUUAUUUAUUGGAUUGUGGUUGAUAGCCUUGUAUCUGUGUUGUUGUUUUUUUUGCAUUUUGGGUGUCUGCUAUGAAGCAAGUUAACUGCUAUGAAGCAAGUUAAUAUACAUAUCAAUUUUUUUUUAACCUAUGUAUGUUAGGUGUUUGUAAAAAUGUCUCAAUAAGGUUAUUUUGAUUAAAACAUGAAAAAUUAGUUUGUUUUCUCUGUAAAAUUGUUGAGAAUAUAAUGAGUUAUAGAUUAACUCAGUUGUUUAUAAUUAUAGAUUAACUCAGUUGUUUAUAAUAGCAUGAUUAAUGGCUUUAGAAAUCUAAAUAUCCUGAUGCAACGCUUGCCUUGCAUAAGAAAAUGACUGAUGAAGGGAUUCCAUGUGCCUUGCAAACAUACACUACUGUAAUUGAUAUACAGAGAUGCUUGCAAAGGGUAUUGUCUAUUUAAAUUUGUUUGUAUUAAUAUUGCAGUACCGAUGAGCACAAAUUCAUCAGGGAGAUCAAUAGGCAGUUGCAAAUGUGGAGUUCCUUAGAAAUUAUAAUCUGACGGAUGAAUCCUGGAUGUUGACAUAGGAGGUACAGGCAUUCCACAUUUAUAUCCUCCUUGAUUAUUAAAUUAAUUAAAACUAUCCCAAAUUUCAGAACUCAUAAAAUUCUGUCAAUGUUGUUCUUUUUGGUGGUUUUAGGUUGGAAAAGUGAAUUUUAAGAGCUCCGACACACAGGCUAAAUUGAUUGGAACAAUGGUCUCAGUCCUAGGGGCUUUCGUGGUGACUUUGUACUAGGGACCCCAACUCCUGAAAAGCCCCUCAUCUUCAAGCUUGUCUCAUCUUUUGACGACUCCAUCACAGAAUUGGGUUAUCGGGGGUUGCUCCUAGGAAUUGACAGUGUGCUCGCUUCAUUUCUCAUCAUUACACAUGUACAUAUUAUUACAUGUACCAAAACAAUACCAUGUAACUCGUUGUGGUUUUUGUUUUUUGUAAUGUAGUCGAGUUGUGUUGUAAUGAAAUUGUUUAAUGCAAUGAAAUUACAAGUUGUAGUUGCUUUGUAAUGAAACUACUGUAAUGAAAGUUGUUGUUUGUAAUCUAAUGAAUUGUCAUCUUGCUACUGUAAUGUACAGUGGU
RNAcentral lists this long non-coding RNA (1151 nucleotides) under Panax ginseng (ginseng). RNAcentral describes it as "long non-coding RNA (PGIN_LNC008477)". Lineage: Eukaryota; Viridiplantae; Streptophyta; Magnoliopsida; Apiales; Araliaceae. The record is from RNAcentral.